AGGCAAGAUGUUGGCAUAGCAG
This 22-nucleotide microRNA is filed under the name Callorhinchus milii (elephant shark). Its description in RNAcentral is "eshark_mir-31_1". Lineage: Eukaryota; Metazoa; Chordata; Chondrichthyes; Chimaeriformes; Callorhinchidae. The record is from RNAcentral.